AGUGAACGCUGGCGGUAGGCCUAACACAUGCAAGUCGAACGAGUGGCGGAGGGGUGAGGAAUACAUCGGAAUCUACUAUGUCGUGGGGGAUAACGUAGGGAAACUUACGCUAAUACCGCAUACGAUUGAAUGAGCAGAUGUCGGAUUAGCGAGUUGGUGGGGUAAAGUCACACCAAGGCGACGAUCCGUAGCUGGUCUGCGAGGCUGAUCAGCCAAACUGGAACUAAGACACGGUCCAGACUCCAACGGGAGGCAGCAGGGGGGAAUAUUGGACAAUGGGCGCAAGCCUGAUCCAGCCAGACCGCGUGGGUGAAGAAGGCCUGCGGGUUGUAAAGCCCUUUUGUUGGGAAAGCGGUACCCAAAGAAUAAGCACCGGCUAACUUCGUGCCAGCAGCCGCGGUAAUAC
Molecule: ribosomal RNA, 406 nt
Filed under: uncultured bacterium
Lineage: Bacteria
Description: partial 16S ribosomal RNA
Rfam family: Bacterial small subunit ribosomal RNA
Source: RNAcentral